CCACAGGGCCCCAGGCUCCGUGGUAUGUGCCUCACACUGGAAGCUUAGUUAGGUGCAAGAAGCUGAUGGUUUUACAAACAGCAUCCAGCAACGUGUAUCAGGCUUGUUUUUUAAUCAUGUUUUGUUGUUGUUGUUGUUUGUUUUGUUGUUGUUUUUUUUGUUUUUUAGAUUGCAAAUGUCCUUUGAGAGUGCAGGUCCCCGAGUCCAGGCACUGCAUGGUGAUUGUCUUUUGUUUUCGUCUUUCAUAUAGAACAGUAGCUGGAUCCAGUUUAAAGCUUUUGGGUAUCAUCUAGCCUCUUUGCUCACUUCUGGGGCUGAAUGCCAGUAACUAGCCCCACUGUUGUAUCUGGGUCUCGUCUUGACAGCUCAGAGGCAAUGCCUGCCUCCCAGCCCCUUUCCUUUCCCAAGACUAGAGAUGCCGGACCUCAGACCACGCUAGACUCCCUUUCCCUGGGUUAGGGGGAGGCUGGAACUCUUCUGGUUUUAGGUUCUCCUAACUGACCUGGAUGGAAAUAUUUAAGGCCAUAGGAUUAUCAGCGGGGACAAGUGUGUCCUCCCUGUGUCCUGUUCCAGGGUAGGCCUCCUGCCUCCCCGCCUGCUCUGUGAUUCUCAGGAAGGCAAGGCAUGGAACUCCAGGCCUAUUAAGGGUCUUCCCCAGUGGCCAGUUAGGCGCGGGCGCUGCAGACUAGCUGGAGAGGCGUGGGGGAGGGGACAUCCAUUCCUGCCAUUCAGCGACCAAGUCUUUCUAGGGACCCCUGGGCAGAGCGAGAGAAACCGGUCCCAGUGGAAUGAGGGUGCAGGGGUCCUGCUAAGUGUUGCUAGUGAUGACUUACACUGAGGUCGCCCAGAAGAAGGGAGGGAGGAAGGGGAGGUGAGACCACAGCGGUGGUGGUGGUGGUGGUGGUGGUGAGCUCGGAGGAGCCCAGCUCCUUCUGAGCUCUAGGGUGCCCUGCAAGUCUCACCAGCCUACGCAUCCCCGUUCUCCAAGGCUGGAGCUGGGACUCCAGGGCUCCUGUGGCCACAUUCAGCUGGCUCGCGGCCCUCCCUGCCUCGCCGCCCUCCCUGGCCGCGCGACCGCCGGAGCCCCCUCCCUCUCUCGCCGAGCUGCGCGCUCCGCCCGUGCAGCCGCCACCACCACCGCCACCGCCGCCGCGUGCUCCUGCUGCCUUCUCGCUUCAGCCGAGCCAGCCAGAGGAACGAGGGGGGGGGUGGGAGAGAGAGAGAGAGAGAGAGAGAGUCGGCGAGGCAAGCGGAGCGGGGACACGGAGCCGUUGCUCCGGAACCGGCGGAAACCUCCUCGGACAGCAGUCGGGCGCCUGCCCCAGCAGCUCGCGUGGUCUCCGGAGACGCCGCGGCAGCCACCGCCGCUCCAACCCGGCCUCUCGCGCCCCUUGCCGCCGGCUCGCCGGGGCGGCCGGGAUGCAGCCGGGGCAUGGCCGCCAGGGCCCCGUCACCUGCCGUGGGGAACGCUGAACCCGUUGAAAAGCUGCCUGUGAGAACCUAGUGCUCUUUUGCGAUCCCACUCUGCGUGGGCACACACACACUCCAUACUGAGGAAGCCUCAUCAGUUCUUCCACGGGCCCCUGGCUACAGCAAAGUAGACGGCACCCCAACAGGUAAGGCCACAAGGCUACCCUGCUCUGCCUUGGCAUCUGAGUUUGUGUCGAGAAUCACUAAUAAGGCCACUUCAGUAGUGGGGCAGUAGCAGGGUGUCCUAUGCCUGUGUUUGCAGUUCAUUGCGUCUUCGUGGCUUCUACAAGUUGGUUAAGUCACAGAGAGUCCCCAGGUCCCCAGGAAAUCAUGGCCAUUGACUUUGUUCUCUGUGUCCUGACACUCA
RNAcentral lists this long non-coding RNA (1837 nucleotides) under Mus spicilegus (steppe mouse). RNAcentral describes it as "lncRNA (ENSMSIG00000016917.1)". Lineage: Eukaryota; Metazoa; Chordata; Mammalia; Rodentia; Muridae. The record is from RNAcentral.